UUGACAAGCACUUUGAAAAGAGGGUGAAAAGAACCUGAAACCGUUACGGGGGAAGCGGAUUGCGUUGGAUUGACGGGCUCGUGCUGUUCAGCCGUUUUCGGUGUACUCAGUUACGAUGCUUACCUGUAGUGGGCUUCUAGCGGUCGAAUUUGGGCUACUAGGGGCUGAGGGCUCCCUUCUAGGUGAGGACGACAGGGUGACGACGCGAUACGACCCGUCUUGAAACACGGACCAAGGAGUCUAGCGCAGGUGCGAGUCGAAGGGUUUAGAAACCUGAGGGCGCAGUGAAAGCAAAAAAACUAUUUUGAAAACUUUGCAGUUUGAGGCGGCAUACAAUCGUUGAUUGUAGGUCCGACCUAGAGCAGUUGUGCUAGGACCCGAAAGAUGGUGAACUAUGCCGGAGUAGGGCGAAGCCAGAGGAAACUCUGGUGGAGGCUCGUAGCGGUGCUGACGUGCAAAUCGCUCGUCUAACUCGGGUAUAGGGGCGAAAGACUCAUCGAACCAUCUAGUAGCUGGUUCCCUCCGAAGUUUCUCUCAGGAUAGCGGGCCGACAGAUGUUGUUGUGUGC
RNAcentral lists this ribosomal RNA (568 nucleotides) under Dasyphila preissii. RNAcentral describes it as "eukaryotic LSU rRNA". It matches the Rfam family "Eukaryotic large subunit ribosomal RNA", at positions 364 to 1006 of the family's 3401-position model. The record is from RNAcentral. Lineage: Eukaryota; Rhodophyta; Florideophyceae; Ceramiales; Ceramiaceae.